RNAcentral lists this small RNA (28 nucleotides) under Bombyx mori (domestic silkworm). RNAcentral describes it as "ovarian small RNA-32746". Lineage: Eukaryota; Metazoa; Arthropoda; Insecta; Lepidoptera; Bombycidae. The record is from RNAcentral.
UGAUCUGGUGGGGUUGAUCGCACCCGAG